GAUGAACGCUAGCGGCAGGCCUAAUACAUGCAAGUCGAACGAUAGUGAGAAGCUUGCUUCUCACGAAAGUGGCGCACGGGUGCGUAACGCGUAUGCAACCUACCUUAAUCAGGGGGAUAGCCCGAAGAAAUUCGGAUUAACACCGCAUAAAAUCACAGUAUAGCAUUAUACAAUGAUCAAAUAUUUAUAGGAUUAAGAUGGGCAUGCGUGACAUUAGUUAGUUGGCGGGGUAACGGCCCACCAAGACCACGAUGUCUAGGGGAUCUGAGAGGAUGACCCCCCGCGCUGGUACUGAGACACUGACCAGACUCCUACGGGGGGCAGCAGUAAGGAAUAUUGGUCAAUGGAGGCAACUCUGAACCAGCCAUGCCGCGCGCAGGAAGACAGCCCUCUGGGUCGUAAACUGCUUUUAUUCGGGAAUAAACCUAUCUACGUGUAGAUAGCUGAAUGUACCGAAGGAAUAAGGAUCGGCUAACUCCGUGCCAGCCGCCGCAGUAA
This 498-nucleotide ribosomal RNA is filed under the name uncultured bacterium. RNAcentral describes it as "partial 16S ribosomal RNA". It matches the Rfam family "Bacterial small subunit ribosomal RNA", at positions 28 to 523 of the family's 1533-position model. The record is from RNAcentral.